Molecule: transfer RNA, 73 nt
Filed under: Danio rerio (zebrafish)
Lineage: Eukaryota; Metazoa; Chordata; Actinopteri; Cypriniformes; Danionidae
Rfam family: tRNA
About the family: Transfer RNA (tRNA) molecules are approximately 80 nucleotides in length. Their secondary structure includes four short double-helical elements and three loops (D, anti-codon, and T loops). Further hydrogen bonds mediate the characteristic L-shaped molecular structure. tRNAs have two regions of fundamental functional importance: the anti-codon, which is responsible for specific mRNA codon recognition, and the 3' end, to which the tRNAs corresponding amino acid is attached (by aminoacyl-tRNA synthetases). tRNAs cope with the degeneracy of the genetic code in two manners: having more than one tRNA (with a specific anti-codon) for a particular amino acid; and 'wobble' base-pairing, i.e. permitting non-standard base-pairing at the 3rd anti-codon position.
Source: Rfam by way of RNAcentral
GGCCCAGUGGCCUAAAGGAUAAGGCACCAGUCUUCGAAGCUUGGGAUUGUGUGUUCAAGUCCCACCUGGGUUG